Molecule: ribosomal RNA, 480 nt
Filed under: uncultured bacterium
Lineage: Bacteria
Description: partial 16S ribosomal RNA
Rfam family: Bacterial small subunit ribosomal RNA
Source: RNAcentral
GAUGAACGCUGGCGGCGUGCUUAACACAUGCAGUCGAACGAAGCAUUUGCGACAGAUUUUUUCGGAAUGAAGUUGCUUAUGACUGAGUGGCGGACGGGUGAGUAACGCGUGGGUAACCUGCCUUGUACUGGGGGAUAGCAGCUGGAAACGGCUGGUAAUACCGCAUAAGCGCACAAUGUUGCAUGACAUGGUGUGAAAAACUCCGGUGGUAUAAGAUGGACCCGCGUCUGAUUAGCUAGUUGGUGAGAUAACAGCCCACCAAGGCGACGAUCAGUAGCCGACCUGAGAGGGUGACCGGCCACAUUGGGACUGAGACACGGCCCAGACUCCUACGGGAGGCAGCAGUGGGGAAUAUUGCACAAUGGAGGAAACUCUGAUGCAGCGACGCCGCGUGAGUGAAGAAGUAAUUCGUUAUGUAAAGCUCUAUCAGCAGGGAAGAUAGUGACGGUACCUGACGAAGAAGCUCCGGCUAAAUACGUG